CCUCCUUCUGUAAUGUUCACACCUGUUGGGAUCGAUCAGUAAAAAAUACUUAAAGCAAUUCAAGAUCGCAAAUGUUUGACAUUUCCUUUUUAAAAUGACGGAAGCACCAGUGCAGUGUGUAACUACUGACCAGAGCAGCAGCUGUAUGGACAGAUGUGGCUUUAGAGUACUGUUGAACUUACAAGGUGCUUUCUAGAACUUUCCUGGUCCUUACAGAGGAAUAAUAUGAACCAACUUGAUCAGUACUUGAUCAGGCUAAAUUAACGUCUGUCUUAUGACUUCAGCUUUUUUAAAAGUAUUGCUGGCAAUUUUCAGAGGUUUAUAAAGAAUGUGGAACUGACACAAUUGGUUUAA
Poecilia latipinna (sailfin molly) is the source of this 354-nucleotide long non-coding RNA. RefSeq lists it as uncharacterized. The transcript has 2 exons. The record is from RefSeq and is a predicted model, not a curated record. Lineage: Eukaryota; Metazoa; Chordata; Actinopteri; Cyprinodontiformes; Poeciliidae.